UACGUAGGGUGCGAGCGUUGUCCGGAAUUAUUGGGCGUAAAGAGCUCGUAGGCGGUUUGUCGCGUCGGCCGUGAAAACUUGGGGCUUAACCCCAAGCCUGCGGUCGAUACGGGCAGACUUGAGUUCGGCAGGGGAGACUGGAAUUCCUGGUGUAGCGGUGAAAUGCGCAGAUAUCAGGAGGAACACCGGUGGCGAAGGCGGGUCUCUGGGCCGAUACUGACGCUGAGGAGCGAAAGCGUGGGGAGCAAACAGG
Molecule: ribosomal RNA, 253 nt
Filed under: uncultured bacterium
Lineage: Bacteria
Description: partial 16S ribosomal RNA
Rfam family: Bacterial small subunit ribosomal RNA
Source: RNAcentral